This 301-nucleotide ribosomal RNA is filed under the name uncultured bacterium. RNAcentral's name for it is "partial 16S ribosomal RNA". It matches the Rfam family "Bacterial small subunit ribosomal RNA", at positions 509 to 809 of the family's 1533-position model. The record is from RNAcentral.
CAGUAGCCGCGGUAAUACGAAGGGGGCGAGCGUUGCUCGGAAUGACUGGGCGUAAAGGGCGCGUAGGUGGCGUGCACAGUCAGAUGUGAAAUUCCUGGGCUCAACCUGGGGGCUGCAUUUGAUACGUGCGUGCUAGAGUGUGGAAGAGGGUCGUGGAAUUCCCAGUGUAGAGGUGAAAUUCGUAGAUAUUGGGAAGAACACCGGUGGCGAAGGCGGCGACCUGGUCCAUUACUGACGCUGAGGCGCGAAAGCGUGGGGAGCAAACAGGAUUAGAUACCCGCGUAGUCCCUGUCUCUUAUAA